This is a long non-coding RNA of Gorilla gorilla gorilla (western lowland gorilla), 1046 nucleotides long. RefSeq lists it as uncharacterized. Lineage: Eukaryota; Metazoa; Chordata; Mammalia; Primates; Hominidae. The transcript is spliced from 2 exons. The record is from RefSeq and is a predicted model, not a curated record.
GCAGCGGGAGAUGCUUAGACCAAGGACAGAUUCUAUUUGGUUUUAUUGUAUAUGAUCCUCAGAAUUUUAUUUCUCGGAUUAUUGUUGAUGUCCAGAGAAUAACUCUCCCUCCAACCUCAGCCAUUCCCUUUGCUACACACAUACAUCAUUCAGUAUAUUUUUAAUUUUAAAAGUAGGUAAUUAGAGUAUUUUAUAUACUCUCUAAAAGAAACAACGGCAAAGCCCUUUACUGCAUGUGGCUCCUGGAUCUGGAGGGCAAUUCAUUAUAUCAAUAAGAUUCCCCUGCUCUGACUUACAGAAUGUGGGCUCUGAUUAGGUAAACUGACUUCCCCUGUUUGUUCCCUUUUAUACUUUAAUUAAAUAUAAAAUUACUUUAAUUAUUUAAAUAUGUAUGCAUUGGCAGUCUACUGUGUUUAAUAUAUUGAUUUAGACAUGAAGACAGGUUGGGAUGUCAUGAGCUUGGAAUCUUGAAAUCUUGAAAAUUCUGGAAUGUUUUCUCAAAACAAUUUACAUUAGAAUUAGCUGGGGUGCUUGUUAAAAAUUCAGUUAUCCAUCUUACUUUUACCAACUCAGAUUCUUCAGCCAUUUGCAUUGAUAGCCACUCCCCAGCAUCCACUCCCUCAAAGGUGAAAACCAGAAAUUGGCAGUAGAUGAUAUGCAACUAUUAAAUAUAAUGUGAAGCUUUAGUCUCAAUAGAUUUGGACAAAUAAUAAAUGAAAGUAAUUUUCAAAACUGAAGGGAAGUAAUACCAAAAAAGUCAGCAGAGUGAAAAGAACACUGGAUAGAAUGAAGAGACAAGACUUUUAGUCUCUGGCCAACUUUGGGAGACUUAAUUCACUUUCCAGGCCUCAGUUUCCUCAAUCAAGAAAUUGGAUUUUAGGCAUCUUUUAUACGUAAUUCUAAAUCCGAGUUGCGAGGACAGAGAACCUGGAGGACUGACACUGGGAAGAUUACAGAAGGCAGAGCUCCAGAGGGCAAAGCAAGAAAAUGUUACAAAUCUAUUUAUUCAAUCCUUGAAUCUGAGUAUAUCUGUUCCACUAUCAAAA